AGAGUUUGAUCCUGGCUCAGAUUGAACGCUGGCGGCAGGCCUAACACAUGCAAGUCGAGCGGUAACAGGGGAGCUUGCUCCUGCUGACGAGCGGCGGACGGGUGAGUAACGCGUGGGAAUCUGCCCAUUGGUGGGGGAUAGCCCGGAGAAAUUCGGAUUAAUACCGCAUAAUACCUGAGGGUUAAAACGGGGGAUCAUUAGACCUCGUGCCAAUGGAUGAGCCCGCGUCAGAUUAGCUAGUUGGUAAGGUAAAGGCUUACCAAGGCGACGAUCUGUAGCUGGCCUGAGAGGGUGGUCAGUCACACUGGAACUGAGACACGGUCCAGACUCCUACGGGAGGCAGCAGUGGGGAAUAUUGGGCAAUGGGCGCAAGCCUGACCCAGCCAUGCCGCGUGUGUGAAGAAGGCUUUCGGGUUGUAAAGCACUUUAAGUUGGGAGGAAGGCUGCUUAGUUAAUACCUAAGUAGAUUGACGUUACCAACAGAAUAAGCACCGCUAAU
RNAcentral lists this ribosomal RNA (499 nucleotides) under uncultured bacterium. RNAcentral's name for it is "bacterial SSU rRNA". It matches the Rfam family "Bacterial small subunit ribosomal RNA", at positions 8 to 501 of the family's 1533-position model. The record is from RNAcentral.